This 738-nucleotide ribosomal RNA is filed under the name Cerioporus squamosus. RNAcentral describes it as "partial large subunit ribosomal RNA". It matches the Rfam family "Eukaryotic large subunit ribosomal RNA", at positions 142 to 869 of the family's 3401-position model. The record is from RNAcentral. Lineage: Eukaryota; Fungi; Basidiomycota; Agaricomycetes; Polyporales; Polyporaceae.
GUUGUAGUCUGGAGAAGUGCUUUCCGCAUUGGACCGUGUAUAAGUCUCUUGGAAUAGAGCGUCAUAGAGGGUGAGAAUCCCGUCUUUGACACGGACUACCAGUGCUUUGUGAUGCGCUCUCAAAGAGUCGAGUUGUUUGGGAAUGCAGCUCAAAAUGGGUGGUAAAUUCCAUCUAAAGCUAAAUAUUGGCGAGAGACCGAUAGCGAACAAGUACCGUGAGGGAAAGAUGAAAAGCACUUUGGAAAGAGAGUUAAACAGUACGUGAAAUUGCUGAAAGGGAAACACUUGAAGUCAGUCGUGUUGUUUGGAACUCAGCCUUGCUUUUGCUUGGUGCACUUUCUGAAUGACAGGCCAGCAUCAAUUUUGACCGUUGGAAAAAGGUAGGGGGAAUGUGGCACCUUCGGGUGUGUUAUAGCCUCUUGUCACAUACAACGGUUGGGAUUGAGGACCGCAGCACGCCGCAAGGCAGGGGGUUUCCCACUUUCGUGCUUAGGAUGCUGGCAUAAUGGCUUUAAAUGACCCGUCUUGAAACACGGACCAAGGAGUCUAACAUGCCUGCGAGUGUUUGGGUGGAAAACCCGAGCGCGUAAUGAAAGUGAAAGUUGAGACCUCUGUCGUGGAGGGCAUCGACGCCCGGACCUGACGUUCUCUGACGGAUCCGCGGUAGAGCAUGUAUGUUGGGACCCGAAAGAUGGUGAACUAUGCCUGAAUAGGGUGAAGCCAGAGGAAACUCUGGUG